RNAcentral lists this long non-coding RNA (344 nucleotides) under Capra hircus (goat). Its description in RNAcentral is "lncRNA (ENSCHIG00010007877.1)". The record is from RNAcentral. Lineage: Eukaryota; Metazoa; Chordata; Mammalia; Artiodactyla; Bovidae.
CCGCCAAGACGUCCGCGUUCAAGGAGGGCGGGGCUACGGAGAAACCCGACCCCGGAGGUGCGCUCGCGAGAUCUCUGAGGGACCCAUCGGCACUCCUCAAGUUCUCGCGAGAAUUUUCCAGUCCAGGACUCCACUGUGCUAAGAGAAUGAACUCUGGAGUCAGACUUGCGAGGUAAAAAUCCUGGUCAUAUAUGCGAGCUGGGAGACCUUAGAUUAGUAACUUAGCUACUCAGAGACACUAUUUCCUCAUCUGUAAAAUUAAGGUUAAAGUAGCAUUCACUCCAGUACUCUUGCCUGAAAAAUCUCAUGGACGGAGGAGCCUGGUGGGCUGCAGUCCAUGGGGU